RNAcentral lists this ribosomal RNA (497 nucleotides) under uncultured bacterium. Its description in RNAcentral is "partial 16S ribosomal RNA". It matches the Rfam family "Bacterial small subunit ribosomal RNA", at positions 28 to 507 of the family's 1533-position model. The record is from RNAcentral.
GAUGAACGCUGGCGGCGUGCCUAAUACAUGCAAGUCGAGCGAACAGAUGAGGAGCUUGCUCCUCUGACGUUAGCGGCGGACGGGUGAGUAACACGUGGAUAACCUACCUAUAAGACUGGGAUAACUUCGGGAAACCGGAGCUAAUACCGGAUAAUAUAUUGAACCGCAUGGUUCAAUAGUGAAAGACGGUUUUGCUGUCACUUAUAGAUGGAUCCGCGCCGCAUUAGCCAGUUGGUAAGGUAACGGCUUACCAAGGCGACGAUGCGUAGCCGACCUGAGAGGGUGAUCGGCCACACUGGAACUGAGACACGGUCCAGACUCCUACGGGAGGAAGCAGUAGGGAAUCUUCCGCAAUGGGCGAAAGCCUGACGGAGCAACGCCGCGUGAGUGAUGAAGGUCUUCGGAUCGUAAAACUCUGUUAUUAGGGAAGAACAAAUGUGUAAGUAACUAUGCACGUCUUGACGGUACCUAAUCAGAAAGCCACGGCUAACUACGUG